RNAcentral lists this transfer RNA (776 nucleotides) under uncultured cyanobacterium. Its description in RNAcentral is "partial contains 16S ribosomal RNA, 16S-23S ribosomal RNA intergenic spacer, and 23S ribosomal RNA". The stretch from base 268 to 340 matches the Rfam family "tRNA". The record is from RNAcentral. Lineage: Bacteria; Bacillati; Cyanobacteriota.
CAGGGAGACAACACAAUGAUUUUGAUGCCUGAGUGCUUUUAUUCUUAGGCCGAAAUCCUGUCACCUUAGGUCGAUCGGUACCUCAGCUUUGAAGUCAAGGGUCAGCAGCAAUGUUGAUUGCUUGAUGGAGAUUUUCAGUUCCUAAACUUUGUCUAGGUCACACCCCAAGAGGGAUGAGACUCCUGGGCCAUUAGCUCAGGUGGUUAGAGCGCACCCCUGAUAAGGGUGAGGUCCCUGGUUCAAGUCCAGGAUGGCCCAUUCGGUGUUGGGGGUUUAGCUCAGUUGGUAGAGCGCCUGCUUUGCAAGCAGGAUGUCAGGAGUUCGAGUCUCCUAACCUCCACUGACCGAACUUGAUUCCCAUCUCCAAUUUUUUUGGAGUUGAGCUCGAUUGGAGUGUGAUUUGGAUGUGUCCGCUGGAUGACCCCAGCUUCCUGUCAUUCCAAGUUUUAGAUUUUAAGUCUUGAAUUUGGUUGAUAAGAUGCUGGGCCCGGAUCAAAUGAUCAAGCAAUUGAUGAUUUGAUUUGAAGUUCUAGCAGAACCUUGACAACUGCAUAGGUGAGUCUGGAAAAAACAAAGCAUCUUACAGAUGCAUUGUUUUGAAUCUGAUCUUCUGAAAGGGAGAUUGGAUCUAGAACAAUGAAAAUUCUUUUGAGCAAGAGCCGAGACUCUUGAGCGUUCUUUGGUUGGUGUCGAGCCAAUCAGAGUUUGAUCUUGUUUUUAGCAAUAAAAACUUGAGAAUCUGCUUUCAACGGCGGUAAGCGUUCAGGAGGUUAAUU